AAACAAUGUAAUCUUUUGAAACUCUCUUUUAUUGAAACUCUUGUUUAUUUAUAUGCUUGUCAUAUGCUUUGAUUAUCAAUUGUUGGGUUCUCAUCUGUGCUUAAAGCUUUUAUCGUUUAACUCAUUCGAUAAUUGUUGUUUGUCUUUAUUGAUACGGGGACUUACGGUACUGUCAUGAACUGGUGAGAAAUUCCUUGAUUAAGCAAUACAAACCUAGGGAUAGGGGGUAGGACGAUCAAUUGUUUUUGCUUCUGUUCUUAACGCGUUAUUAAUUGCUAGGGGAGGCUAGGGAUAAUAAGCCAGUAAUUAAUAAUAGGCUCUUUUCGCCGAGGGAUCGGGUUAAGGGUAGGCCAAGAAAGUUUGCAUAACAAUUAGAUAAUCAAACACAUUAAACAAGAGGAGUAGAUAAGAGGGAGCGGAUAAGAUGAUAUUGUCAACCCCCAACAACUCCAUUCAUCCAUAGUCUUUUUCUUGUCAACUGAAUCAAACGCAUUGCAUGUUUAAUUUCUGUUUUUGCAUCCACAGCAAUUAAUUUUGUUUACAAGUCUUACGAUCUCAAUUCACACGAACGAUAAGGCCUUUCGAGUCUCUUGGGAAGAACGAUAUCGGGCAUUACCGAUUAUAUUACUUGAACGAUCUGGUACACUUGCCAGUGAGUCAACAAGUUUUUGGCGCCGUUGCCGGAGACUCGAGGUUAACUUUUUCAAGUAGUGUGAUUUGAUUGACAUUUGAUUUGUUUGUAAUUAUUUUACUUUUAUUCUGUUUUGCUUAAUUUUGUUUUUAUUUUCUAUAAAAGCGCUUUUAGGGUGUGUUUCUUGUGUAUGCAGGAAACAAUACAUACUAGAAGCAAAAAAGAC
Molecule: long non-coding RNA, 857 nt
Filed under: Vigna radiata
Lineage: Eukaryota; Viridiplantae; Streptophyta; Magnoliopsida; Fabales; Fabaceae
Description: long non-coding RNA (VRAD_LNC015025)
Source: RNAcentral